CKAACCRCUCCUACGGGAGGCAGCAGUGGGGAAUAUUGCUCMAUGGARGGAACUCUGAAGCAGCGACSCCGCGUGAAGGAUGAAGGUUUUCGGAUUGUAAACUUCUUUGACCGGGGACGAGUAAGGACGGUACCCGGAAAACAAGCCACGGCUAACUACGKGSCRGSRGSSGSGGUAACMCGUAGGUGGCGAGCGUUGUCCGGAAUUACUGGGUGUAAAGGGCGUGUAGGCGGUAGGACAAGUCAGAUGUGAAAGCCCGCGGCUCAACUGCGGGAAUGCAACUGAAACUGUACUACUUGAGUGUUGGAGAGGGAAGCGGAAUUCCCAGUGUAGCGGUGAAAUGCGUAGAUAUUGGGAGGAGCACCAGUGGCGAAGGCGGCUUUCUGGACAACAACUGRCGCUGAGGCGCGAAAGCGUGGGGAGCAAACAGGAUUAGAUACCCUGGUAGUCCACGCUGUAAACGAUGGAUACUAGGUGUAGGAGGUAUCGACCCCUUCUGUGCCGGAGUUAACACAAUAAGUAUCCCACCUGGGGAGUACGGCCGCAAGGUUGAAACUCAAAUGAAUUGACGG
RNAcentral lists this ribosomal RNA (572 nucleotides) under uncultured Clostridiaceae bacterium. RNAcentral's name for it is "partial 16S ribosomal RNA". It matches the Rfam family "Bacterial small subunit ribosomal RNA", at positions 329 to 916 of the family's 1533-position model. Lineage: Bacteria; Bacillati; Bacillota; Clostridia; Eubacteriales; Clostridiaceae. The record is from RNAcentral.